Molecule: ribosomal RNA, 254 nt
Filed under: uncultured bacterium
Lineage: Bacteria
Description: partial 16S ribosomal RNA
Rfam family: Bacterial small subunit ribosomal RNA
Source: RNAcentral
UACGGAGGGGGCAAGCGUUGUUCGGAAUUACUGGGCGUAAAGGGCGCGCAGGCGGCUGCUCAAGUCAGGCGUGAAAGGCCUGGGCUCAACCCGGGAAUUGCGCUUGAGACUGGGCUGGCUUGAGUGCGGGAGAGGAUGGUGGAAUUCCUGGUGUAGCGGUGGAAUGCGCAGAUAUCAGGAGGAACACCGAUGGCGAAGGCAGCUCGCUGGGACGGUACUGACGCUGAGGCGCGAAAGCGUGGGGAGCGAACAGG